Molecule: ribosomal RNA, 428 nt
Filed under: Bacteroidota bacterium
Lineage: Bacteria; Pseudomonadati; Bacteroidota
Description: Bacteroidetes bacterium partial 16S ribosomal RNA
Rfam family: Bacterial small subunit ribosomal RNA
Source: RNAcentral
UAGGGAAUCUUCCGCAAUGGACGCAAGUCUGACGGAGCAACGCCGCGUGAGUGAAGAAGGAUUUCGGUUCGUAAAACUCUGUUGUUAGAGAAGAACAGCGCAUAGAGUAACUGUUAUGCGUGUGACGGUAUCUAACCAGAAAGGGACGGCUAACUACGUGCCAGCAGCCGCGGUAAUACGUAGGUCCCGAGCGUUGUCCGGAUUUAUUGGGCGUAAAGCGAGCGCAGGCGGUUAGAAAAGUCUGAAGUGAAAGGCAGUGGCUCAACCAUUGUAGGCUUUGGAAACUGUUUAACUUGAGUGCAGAAGGGGAGGGUGGAAUUCCAGGGGUAGCGGUGAAAUGCGUAGAUAUAUGGAGGAACACCGGUGGCGAAAGCGGCUCUCUGGUCUGUAACUGACGCUGAGGCUCGAAAGCGUGGGGAGCGAACAGG